Nothoprocta perdicaria is the source of this 189-nucleotide long non-coding RNA. RefSeq lists it as uncharacterized. The transcript is spliced from 3 exons. The record is from RefSeq and is a predicted model, not a curated record. NCBI's taxonomy places the organism in Eukaryota, Metazoa, Chordata, Aves, Tinamiformes, Tinamidae.
CAGUGACAAGGACCAGUGUGGAGAAUGGCCCCUGGAUGAUGUUAUAAAGAUUAGAGAUUGCUUGUGUACACACGGACCUGCAUGCCUGACCCUGGCCUGCUUUGGCCCUCGACUGCCCCUGUGCUUGGGGAAAGCUGUUCCAGUGUCACUGCUUUCUGCAGAAUAGCUCCUGGACCAAGUCUAUUGUUG